UACUCAAAUUCUGUCUUUUGUGUUGUUUGUCCAAACAGCUGUAGCUAGUGGGUCAGAAGCACAGGUAACAACCUGGGGCAUGCAAGUGGUAUCUCUUUGUCUCUCUGUCCACCUGUGCUUUAAUGUGGGAAUUUCAUCUUCUAAAAGUUCCUGAGAAGUUCUUUCCUUGGGAACUCGAGCUGGGUUUACAUUUAAGAACUACAGUCCUUCCUCUUGUAAAUUUUUAUUCCAGUGGACUGAUAAUACAAAAGAUGAUUUAAAAUUACAGUGGCCACUUUGGGGCUCCUUAGAACUUCUAAAACUUGUCUUUUUCUGCACUAGAUUUGAGAACAGUAGACCAGACCAAUUGAAUCCUAUCUUUAAGUGUCAAGCACGGCACCUUCCAGCACACCUGCUUAAAAACUAUGGUCCCAGAAGCUGUAAAUAUUUCCAGAGACCAGCAGAGUCUUACUAACCUUAUUGUGUGUCCUGAGAGCUUGGCUUGGUAACUAUCAGGUUGGGGGCCCAAAAUGUGGUUGGACAGAAAUGUGGCUUGCACGCCAUUUGUAGCCAGAUAUGGCUGGGAAGAAAUGGGGGUUAAACUCCAUUUGUGGCUAGGGUUCUACCAAACUGCUGCCAGCCUCAAGGGAAUUACAUUGACCAUUAGAAGGAAUGUCCCAAUCAGAUAAGAUAAUUUAAGAAGUGCAUUUAAAAGCAAAGGCUUCAGGGACCAGCCAUUGGCUGAGUGGUUAGGUUCAUGCUCCACUUUGGCGGCCCAGGGUUUCACAGGUUCAGAUCCUGGGCGUGGACAUGGCACCACUCAUCAAGCCAUGCUGAGGCGGCGUCCUACAUAGCAGAACCAGAAGGACAUUCAACUAGAAUAUACAACUAUGUACCGGGGGACUUUGGGGAGAAGAGGAAGAAGAAAAAAGAAAGCAAAGGCUUCAAAAUUUCAAAAUAGCCUUAUUAAAAGUUUCAUUGCAAAAAAUUAAUGAAAGUUAAGAUAGAAGAGGUACCUAAAAGAAAAGACUGUACAAAAGUCCGUAAGUUAAUGGCUUUACAGACAUCCACAUGUCUACCUUCAAAGAAAGGCCCCUAUAUGGGCCCCUCUCAGAGUUAACAAGACACAGAGAUUUUCUGGUAAACUGCUACAUUAUUCCCUUAAACAGCCAAAGGGAAACUAAAAUUUAAAAUUAAUGCAGUUGUUUAAUACUGCCAGAAAUACUUACUAUUUGUCCUGGCUGAAACCUGACAAGACAUUUGAAAGGAUUUAGUAACUUAUGAUCAGAAAUUUGGCCAAAUUGGAAGCUGAUAUUCAAUUGGAAGCAGAUAUUCAGCUGAUAGGAAUUUUUUCUCGGCUUUCCCACCACUAAGCUAAAACAAAACUAUGCACCCAGAGGGAAAGAAACAAAUUAAGGAUAAUGUAAUUGGAUGGGUUAACAGCUAACCUCCUCUAUUUAUCUCAAAAGGCUUGUAACCUCUCCAGAAACUCUUAUCUAAACCAUCCCUGAUUCCUAAGACUGAAGCAGAAAAAAAAAGAAAAGAAGCUUUUAGAGUCCUGAGCUAACAUCUGCUGCCAAUCCUUCUCUUUUUGCUGAGGAAGACUGGCCCUGAGCUAACAUCCGUGCCCAUCUUUCUCCACUUUAUAUGUGGGACGCCUACCACAUGGCUUGCCAAGUGGUGCCAUGUCUGCACCUGGGAUCCAAACUGGCAAACCCUGGGCCACCAAAGAGGAAUGUGUGAACUUAACUGCUGCGCCACCGGGCUGGCCCUGUAGUGAGAUCUUUAACCAUGCCACUUUAAGUCUUUUGUCAUUUACAGACAGUUAUUGUUUUACUCUGAUACUUUUGGAAAUGUGUCUCAUCUUCAGAGAGCUUCAUGGAAAGGACUCUGACCUUCUAGAAUUCAGGUUUCUAGUAAAAUUUCAAAUUAUAAAACUGAACUGGGUAAGAAAUUACAGUACUCCUACAGAGACUCAUGGCUUCAUAAAAUUGCUAACAAAAAGGUCAAAGAACAAAUAAAUAUUAAUUACAUGGGACUACAUGAACCAGGGAGGAUGCUCUAAUGUUUUUUUUUUCCAGAUUUAAAGAAAUCUUUUCUCUUAAGCUGUCACAACGUGGUAGGAUAUAUCUUUGUGAACAAAGAUGAAACAUUUACUUUUUCUCCCUACCUCAUCCCUCCAGAAUUCAGAAACUGUCAGUGAGUAUUCUUAUUUUCCCUUUAUAAAUAAUCAGACCAAGUUUUAAAUUUAAACAAAUGUUUUACUGUUAUUAUUUUUGGUAAAAAAUGAGGGUAAUUGUAGAGAGAAAAAUUAUGUUUGCACCUUUGUAGAUAUUAGAUUCUAGUCCUGUUAAUUGUCUUUGAGGUUUUGUUAUAUACCUGUUGACUGGAUUCCUCUGACCUAAGGUAUUGUCUUUGGUCUUGCCAACUAUUCCCAGUACCCUCUUUGGAAAACAUACUCACUCCACAUAAGAUAGUCACCAGCAGAUAAAUGUCUGUUGACAUACAACCUUCUGCUGAUCCCUCGUUGUCUUAUGCUAGUAUGACCAGUUACUGUAAGUUUCUACUGUCUUCUACUCAAGGCUUUCAUCAACAGGUAAAAGAAACUUUCCUGGAUUCCAAUUUAAAGCAUCCUAUUGGUCAGUCUAGAGCCUGGUGACUAGGUAUUCUGGAAGCAUCAUCAGAGGAAGACAGCCCUCAAGCCUUGUUGAAAAGGACCUUACCAAGUGCUCCUGACCACUGAUACUACUGCAGAACUAGAAGGCAUUGAACCUUGGAGAUACAUCUCACAGCUAAAGAAGGCUACACCCAACAUUUGGUCCUGUGUGAAUGCUGGAGACCUCCAAAUCAAACUGACCAGAAAGAGAAGCAGCCAACAUCUGAAACAGAUAGCUUUUCCAAGAUGGCUGCACCAAGCCUGUACACCUUUUACUCACUGUUGCACCUUACCUUAUUUUCUGUCUGUCUGUCUUGGAAAGACAAUACUCUUAUCCACAUCUCCCAAUCUAUUGCCAAAAGGGUAAAUCUUUCUGACUGUUGGGUUUGUCAUCAGAAGCCUCAUUCUGUACAUGAAUCUAGAGAAUCUUUUAGCACAUUUAAUUACCAAUCUCUCCACCAUUCCUCUCCUAAUUCCUUAUGCUGUCUAGAACUCCUUGCCUAACCAAUUGAACCUCCAGAAAUUGAACUGGUAACAUUGUAACUAUUGUAAAUGCCUCUUGUUGAACUUGGGUAAACACCUCCAGCAAGGUAAAGACAGAACUAGACAGAAUUUGAGCACAAGCUGAAAGAUUCGAUGCAGUGCCCACUGACAUCCCGUAGUUCUUUGAUCUGUUUAGCUGGCUACCCUCAAGAACUGUCUCUUGGUUCAGGUCUAUUCUGCAAUUUGGACUUAGCAUUUUGUUUAUUAUUAUAGAAAUUCUCACUUUUGUAAAACGUCUCUUCUGCAUGGCUUGAUGUUAUAAAAACACCACUUGGAUAAUGGUCGCUCAGUGUUUUGAAAUGAUUGCUAAAGCUUACAAGCCUUCACCUGAGAAACUUCAAGGAACUAAAGACAAUGUCUGCCCUUGAAAGAACUUGAUGGUAAGGCUUUUCUCUGCUCUGGCACUCCUGUUGCUCAAAUGUGGCCUAGGAUCUUAAGGAAAACACUUUCCCUCCUACAUGGGACAUGAAAUACUAGGAAUGAGCCUUUCUGGUUAUGAGAGACCAACAGUGCUUUGAUGACUGAUCAGCAAUACUUUCCACGAAAGGUCUUGAUCAAAAGGGGAAAAAUGUCAAAAUUGACUUUAGUGGAGCCAUUUUAAAAUGGAGUUGGAGCUGCCUCUCCAGAGAAACUGCCCUGCCGUUUUGAACCUUGGACUGGGCCAAACCUUUGGACUGGGCCAAAAUGGCCACUGUUUUACAAGCAAUUGUUUGAGGAGUCAGUAGGAGAAUGGACAUCCUGAUCACAAAGGCUGAGGAUUGCAGACUUUCUGAAGAUAGAAUCAAUACUCAAUCAAUGCUUAGCCAAGACUAACUUCUGCCUCCAACUCCAGUUAAAAUUCUUUGUAACAUAAACCUCCCUUCUUUGCCUUUAAAAGCCCCUGACUUUUACUUCCUAGCUGGAUGCUAUCUGUGCUCCCCAAAAUGAAAUUCUUUGAUCCCAAAUAAAUGCUUUGCCUCUUAAUCUGGUUUCU
RNAcentral lists this long non-coding RNA (4151 nucleotides) under Equus asinus (donkey). RNAcentral describes it as "lncRNA (ENSEASG00005029996.1)". Lineage: Eukaryota; Metazoa; Chordata; Mammalia; Perissodactyla; Equidae. The record is from RNAcentral.